GAGCCGAGGCUCAAAGCAGUGAUGCGCCUUUGGAGUAGCCUGCGUCCGAUUAGCUUGUUGGUGGGGUAAAGGCCUACCAAGGCGACGAUCGGUAGCUGGUCUGAGAGGACGACCAGCCACACUGGGACUGAGACACGGCCCAGACUCCUACGGGAGGCAGCAGUGGGGAAUAUUGGACAAUGGGCGCAAGCCUGAUCCAGCAAUUCCGCGUGGGUGAAGAAGGUCUUCGGAUUGUAAAGCCCUUUCGACGGGGACGAUGAUGACGGUACCCGUAGAAGAAGCCCCGGCUAACUUCGUGCCAGCAGCCGCGGUAAUACGAAGGGGGCUAGCGUUGCUCGGAAUUACUGGGCGUAAAGGGCGCGUAGGCGGCACGAUUAGUCAGGCGUGAAAUUCCUGGGCUCAACCUGGGGACUGCGCUUGAUACGGUCGAGCUAGAGGAUGGAAGAGGGUCGCGGAAUUCCCAGUGUAGAGGUGAAAUUCGUAGAUAUUGGGAAGAACACCGGUGGC
This 507-nucleotide ribosomal RNA is filed under the name uncultured bacterium. RNAcentral's name for it is "bacterial SSU rRNA". It matches the Rfam family "Bacterial small subunit ribosomal RNA", at positions 191 to 716 of the family's 1533-position model. The record is from RNAcentral.